UACGUAGGCAGCGAGCGUUGUUCGGAGUUACUGGGCGUCAAGAGUGCGUAGGCGGUGUUCCAAGUCUGUUGUGAAAUCUCCCGGCUCAACUGGGAGGGUGCGGCGGAAACUGGGACGCUGGAGUACGGGAGAGGUAAGCGGAAUUCCUGGUGUAGCGGUGAAAUGCGUAGAUAUCAGGAGGAACACCUGCGGUGUAGACGGCUUACUGGACCGUAACUGACGCUGAGGCACGAAAGCGUGGGUAGCAAACAGG
Molecule: ribosomal RNA, 253 nt
Filed under: uncultured bacterium
Lineage: Bacteria
Description: partial 16S ribosomal RNA
Rfam family: Bacterial small subunit ribosomal RNA
Source: RNAcentral